Molecule: non-coding RNA, 1802 nt
Organism: Carica papaya (papaya)
Lineage: Eukaryota; Viridiplantae; Streptophyta; Magnoliopsida; Brassicales; Caricaceae
Source: RefSeq, a predicted model, not a curated record
AGUAUUGAGUAGUAUUUAUUUUAUACUUCUAGGGACUAGGAGAGAAGUCUGUCCUGAGGUUUUAUUGACUGGUAAAUGGUGGAGCAUUUGUUUUAUAGGUAGAUGGUCUUCUAAAUCAUAUAUGAAACAUUGUACUAUUAGCCUAUGAAAAUAUAAUAGUAAAUUGUUUGAAAUAUAUAUAGGAGCAGUUCUAAUGAAAGUUAUACUACUGAAGGGAUCACAAUUGCAGAAAUUAGCAUUUUUUUUGCACUAUCCUAUUUCGGGGUAGACCCGACAUAUCUGUACUGUUUUUGGAAUAUAAGAGGACUGACAGGCAAUCUUACUUGACGUUGUACUUUGAUUACCAUAGUGGAUCCAUUAAUGAUUAUCUGAAAGAUGACAAAUUAUUUUUAUGCUCUCCCUAGUGCCUCAAGGAAGCAUGUACUAAGGCAUCCUUCAGGUUACUGUUUUGUAUCACUACUUCUGUUUCCAUAAAGGCCUUCGGUUCUUAGUUCCAUUAGAAUUUCACAAGAAAAAUGUUUUGAAAUUGCCUCCUCAUUUCAAGAACUGUUUUCUUCCAAAACAAAAUGUUUUCAUCCAUUUUCUACUGCAUGUAUCUUAUGAAACUGCUUAUAACAUAUUUUAAGUCAGAAAACCAGAGAAGCAAGUUCUUAUUUUCUGGGUUUUAAUACCCUAAAUUGUAUAUCCCAAGAAUAGAAACAAAACCCGAGAAACGUAUAUUCCAUGGAAGGUUGCAAUUUUUUGUCGGAUGCAGAUUAACCUGUUAGUAUGCAAGGAAAUGUAACGGAGCGAAGCUUGCUUUCUGAGACAGAGUGAACAGCCACAUAUUUGAUAACGAUAUAUGCUUUUACAUAUUUGAUAUGAUAAUAUGGCCUUUUUUCUGCCAUAGGGUCGGUUUGAGAUAAUUUCAUUAUCUGGUUCUUAUAUACAUACUGAAAUUGGGGGGAGGACUGGUGGGCUUAGUGUAUGUCUCGCCAGUACAGAUGGCCAGAUCAUUGGUGGUGGAGUUGGUGGACUACUGAAGGCUGCAGGCCCAGUUCAGGUUAUUAUUGGUUCAUUUUUUGUUGACUCAAAGAAGGAUGUCAGUUUCAGCGGAAAAGGUGAUUCUUGUGGCGCGAAGUUACCUUCCCCAGUUGGUGCAUCACUAUCAGGUGUUGGAUUCCUAUCCACUGUUGACUCUAUUGGAAGGAAUCCGGUCAGGGAAGCCGAUGAUCAUCAUAAUCAGACCAUGGGGGGAAAUCAUUUCAUGAUUCAACCUCGGGGUUUACAAAUGACUCCCCCGGAAUGGGGAGGUAGUCCUGAUGGUAGAGGUGCUAUCGGUUACGACUUGACAGGUAGACUCACACCCUCAGAGAGAGAACGAGAGAUAGACCGGAUGUUCUGAGGUAGAAAACAUCGCCUUCUGCAGGAAGUAACAGGUUGUGGUCCUUAUCAAUCUUCGGAAAAUGGGGAAUACGAUCAUAUGGCAGAUUAGAAAUUGAUUCUGGAGUAUGACAGAAAACUGUUUUUGACUGUAGGUAAUUUGCCAGUUUUACAAUAGUAAGUUAGAUGUGAAAUUCCUUGCACCUCUAGUGGAGUGUAAUAUGUAUAUAUUGCUGUACAGAUUACCAGCAUUGCUCUUUUAGGGAUGUUAUUCAAAGCAGACACCACCGAAUUAUUGCUCUAAGAAUCUGAUCCUUUUGAGGGCUGAAAAAUUUCACUCGUUCAUGGGCAUAAAUAUUGAUAUGUUUUGGGAAUUAGAAAAUCCCGGAUCAGAGACUUGCUCAUCCUAAACAUAAUACACAUGGGUUUCUUCUUCAACC